CGCCGCCCGCUCCCCCCUCCCCGGCGCUGGGAGGCGACCCCCGGCGCGCCCCAGGUUCAAAGGCCCCGCGCGGCAGCCCCAGCCCCUCCGGGGGGCGGGGAGGCGAGGGGGUGGUGCGGGCGCCAGAAAAGCCCGAGCCCACAGCCGGCCCGGCGCGGCGAUGGGCAGCGCGCUCUGACGCGUGUGAGCGGCGCAGCCAACUCCCGGCCGGGGCGCGGGGCGCAGCGAGCGAGCGAGCGAGCGAGCGAGCGCCGGCCUCGGACCCCGCGGCCGGAGGGCGAGGCCGCCGCGCCGGGCCCAGCGCCCUUUCUCGGCCACAGGCGUCCGUGCCCCCGGCCCGGUGCCCCGCGCCCGAUCGGGGUUCAUGGAGCUGGGGCUGUGGCUCCUGUUCGGGCUCACGGUGACCUCCGCCGCAGGAUUGGUGCCUCGCCCCCAGCCUGGGGACGCUGGCAGGAGCGGCGUGCCUGGGGCCCCGCCUGCAGCCAGAUCCGAGGGGGACAUCGAGGACGCGGUGGCCACUACAGCAGUGCAGAGUCCAAGUCCCAGAAGCCCUGGGCAGGACCAGGAGCCAGGGCGGUUUGGGGAACAGGCCCCCGAGGGGGGUCCUGUGCACCCCCGAGCGAGGCGCUGCACGUGUUUCACCUACAAGGACAAGGAGUGCGUCUACUAUUGCCACCUGGACAUCAUCUGGAUCAACACUCCUGAACGGACCGUGCCCUAUGGACUGUCCAACUACAGAGAAAGCUUCCGGAGCAAGAGGUCCGCGGGGCCGUUCCCGCAGAGCCCACAGCCGUCCAAGCGGACGCUGCGCUGCGCUUGUGUGCGGAGUCGGGACAGCGCCUGCCUGCACUUCUGUACCCGCACCCUGGCCGUCAGCAGGAACUCAAGGACAGCAGAAAAUCCUGACGAUGAGGAACAGCCAGCCGGCGGUGCCGAUGGAGGCCUGCGUCCGAGGAGCAAAGAUGUGUGGUGCACCUGCGACAUGCCGGGCAGCGCUCUGGAAGUCGGGGACGCGGGAGGGGACGAGGCGGAGGGGCUGCGUUUGCGGAACUUACAGAAUGUGGGGAGCUGACCGCAGACAAAUACACUCGUCCCCCCUCCCCCAUGGGGGCUUCGUUCCAGAUGGACCGCGGACACGCCCAUAGAUAGGCUGAAGUCCGGGACCGACCAAGCGAGCAGGCCUUAGGCCUCUGGCAUCACGUGCUUGCCCGGCGGUGGGCCCCCCGCGCUCUGCCUCCCCCUCUGCUGUGUCAGGAACCCCUGCGGACACAGGCCAGCAGCACCCCAUCUCUGGGAGGCCUCAGUUUCCGCUCCUUCCCGGUUCACGUUCCCAGCCUCUUGGAGGACCAGGAAUGAGUUUUGCCUGGUGGGGGGAAAACCCACUCAGAAGGCCCACGCUUAACAGUACACCCCUCACCCAAGAAUGCCCCAGCCCCAACGACCCGGUUUCUCUAAUGGGUAAAAUGAUCCCAGAUGUGCCCCAGAGCCUGACGCCCGCGGCUUGGGUUUCAGGCAGGAAAUUGUUUUUGGAGCGCCGUGGCACAUCCAGCCGCUUGCUGGCUUUUGCUUCUCUUGGAGUAUAAGUGGGCUCCAGGCUGACUUUGCAAACGUAAACACGCGUCCCUUACAACCGAUGCGGCGGGAGCAUGCGACGCUCCCAUCCUGACAUCCAGAAGGCACGCGCUGUGGGCUAGGGAGGGCGCCAGGCGUCGAUUUUGAAUGCGGAGCGUAGCUUUGCAGGAGUUGAGGACUUUGAAGCUUCUAGGAGGAUUUAGACAGCGAUUUUCAGGUGUGCACGGUACCCACUAAAAGAAUGUAUCUUUGAGAAAGAGAGGACGAGAGAAAAAAGAAACCUUGAUGUUUGUGACGAGGAAAGAAGAACACGAGUAUGUGUGGGCUUUGAACCCCGACACGUGCGGCUGCGAGCCUGUCCUCGAUCAGGUGCCCUUCUGAGCCCUCUGCGGACAGGCAGGCCAGGCACUUCCCAGAGAGCCACAGUAAAAGCCGCCGGCCUCCCCUCCAGGCCAUUUGGGUGAAUAUUCGCUUUCAUGAACAAAUGUGGAUCUUUGGGGAACGGCUUCAAAAUAAGCCACAAAUGCAAACUCUUUGUAAAUUAUGUAAAUUCCUAUUUAUCUAUGUAAUUGGCAACCACUGGGGAUUGUAACGCCCCACAGGUCACGAUCUGUUUCCGCUGUGCUUUUUACGGCCGGCCCAAGAUUGCCGUGCGUAUCCGGCAAAGUAUUUGGUGCCAACGUCAUUGAUGCAGACGCCCCCCCACCCCACACACACACCCCCGCCCCCAGCUGGCAGAGAGAUGAGAACCCACAUGGGAGGCAUGCCCAGGUCACCACGCGGGAAAAUUUAAGGUGGUGAACGACAGAGCGUUGGCGUUGACCAAAUGCUAAAUUCUGCGUGCGUUAUUUCAUGAGCUCUUACAGAUAGAAAAGGGAGUACCUAUCACCCGGAAAAGGAGGGCAGUGCUUUGCUAGCAGGAAUGUGUACAGUUUAGAGAAGCAACUAUUUAUUGUGAAACUCUUUAUUUCGAUUCCUUUAUGUGGAUCUGUUCAAAGUAAAGCCACUGUGUAUAUAUAGACCGAUUUUAAAUUGUGUUCUGGAUCCAAACGCAUAUUCCUUAGAGCUUGAGUUCCAUUUUUAAAACGCAUAGGCACCGUUUGGCUCUGUGGCAGGAUGCUAUCUUGGAGAGAAAUUCAUCCGUUGUGCUAACACUCAGAAAAUACUGUCAAAUGCAUAAUAAAAAAAAAAAUCUAGAAGUUUGCUCUGAUUUGUGGGUUCUUCUCGCUGGUGUUAUAUGCCUGGUUACACAUCAACUUUUCAUGGACCUCUGGAGAGCAUGGAGGGAGUUAUAGUCCAGGAAGUAGAAUCCAUCCAAAGUCAAUUAUGGAGGGAGGCAAACAAGCGCUGCUUGGAUUUUAAGGAAGGAGCGGGAUUUGGGGACCAUCCGAGGAAGAGAAACAACCCAAGGCAGUUUCGGAAGAGAGAAAUUUGGGGAGAGAACUGGCUCCUUCCUCUGGCACCUGUCCCGUUCACCUUGGUGGCACCGCAGAGGCCAUGGGAAUGCCAGAACAGGAGUCCGGGGACAGAGCGGUCACGGUCAGCAACCUGCAGUCGACCUUCUCAGCCUUUCAGAUGGGCAUUGUCUUUUGCUUUGCUGCUCAC
Acinonyx jubatus (cheetah) is the source of this 3177-nucleotide RNA transcript. It is a transcript of the gene named endothelin 3, with no coding region annotated. Lineage: Eukaryota; Metazoa; Chordata; Mammalia; Carnivora; Felidae. The transcript has 6 exons. The record is from RefSeq and is a predicted model, not a curated record.